GAGCGAUGUCCUCCACAAGGUGGUGAGGUGGAGCGAUCUUUUCUGCAUAGCUAAGGGGUGGCGUGAAGUUCAAGGUGGAGCACGAGAACGGAGCAAUGGCCACCACAAAGCCAGCGGAGAGGUUUGAAGUCCAGGCGGAGACAGACUGGAAGCAAUGUUCUCCCGAUGCCAGAGGGAGGAGCAACGUCCUUUGCGAAGCAAGAAGGGGGAGCGACGUACACCGCAAAGCAAGGGGGACGAGCGAGGUCCUCAGUGGAGCAAGAAGGUGUAGCGAGUACCUCAGCGGGGCAAGAAGGUGGCGCGAGGACCUCAGCGGGGCAAGAAGGUGGAGCGAGGACCUCAGCGGGGCAAGAAGGUGGCGCGAGGACCUCAGUGGGGCAAGAACGUGGAGCGAGGACCUCAGCGGGGCAAGAAGGUGGAGCGAGGACCUCAGCGGGGCAAGAAGGUGGAGCGAGGACCUCAGCGGGGCAAGAAGGUGGAGCGAGGACCUCAGCGGGCAAGGAGGCGGAGUGAGGUCUUCAGCGGAGCAAGGAGGCAGAGUGAGGACCUCAGCGGGUAAGGAGGCGGAGUGAGGUCUUCAGCGGAGCAAGGAGGCAGAGUGAGGACCUCAGCAGGGCAAGCAGGCGGUGUGAGGACCUCAGUGUAGCAAGGAGGCAGAGUGAAGUCCUCUGUGGAGCAAGGAGGCGGACUGAGGUUCUCAGAGGGGCAAGGAAGUAGGGCGACUUCCGAAGUGUGUCAGGAAGGGUGCCCUGAGAGGAAUGCUCCUGUAACCAUAAUAACCACUCUUUACAACCAUGGUGAGCAGAAAUGCAUCUCAGAGGGCUCAACACCUCAAAAUAUGAGACGACUGGGUUGCAACAGCAGAGGACCACAUCAGGUUCCAC
Molecule: long non-coding RNA, 884 nt
Organism: Ictalurus punctatus (channel catfish)
Lineage: Eukaryota; Metazoa; Chordata; Actinopteri; Siluriformes; Ictaluridae
Source: Ensembl